UACAGAGACUGCAAGCGUUACUCGGAUUCACUGGGCGUAAAGGGAGCGCAGGCGGAAUGAUGUGUCGAUUGUGAAACCCCGGAGCUCAACUCCGGGACUGCGGUCGAAACUGUCAUUCUAGGGACUCGGAGGGGCCGGUGGAAUUCCUGGUGGAGCAGUGAAAUGCGUGGAUAUCAGGAGGAACACCAACGGCGAAGGCAGCCGGCUGGACGAGAUCCGACGCUCAGGCUCGAAAGUAUGGGGAGCAAAAAGG
RNAcentral lists this ribosomal RNA (253 nucleotides) under uncultured bacterium. RNAcentral describes it as "partial 16S ribosomal RNA". It matches the Rfam family "Bacterial small subunit ribosomal RNA", at positions 524 to 776 of the family's 1533-position model. The record is from RNAcentral.